CCAUGAUGACAAGAAACAUUUUAAUGAAAAUUACAUUUGAGUUUACCAUCCCUUCAAGUGAAAAAGUCAAUUG
Long non-coding RNA from Myripristis murdjan (pinecone soldierfish), 73 nucleotides. RefSeq lists it as uncharacterized. The transcript has 3 exons. Lineage: Eukaryota; Metazoa; Chordata; Actinopteri; Holocentriformes; Holocentridae. The record is from RefSeq and is a predicted model, not a curated record.